Prunus dulcis (almond) is the source of this 1542-nucleotide RNA transcript. RefSeq lists it as uncharacterized. The record is from RefSeq and is a predicted model, not a curated record. The transcript is spliced from 3 exons. NCBI's taxonomy places the organism in Eukaryota, Viridiplantae, Streptophyta, Magnoliopsida, Rosales, Rosaceae.
CUUUCUGUUUCUUUUUUCUCACUAAUUUUCUAAUUUCGCCCCUCUUCUCAAACCCUCUACAUCCUCUGUCUUGUGCCCUCCCAAUCUCUGAGCCCAAACCCUCACUUGCUCUCUCUCAUCUAGAAUCCCUCUUCCUCUUCAUUCUCAAACUUCACACCUGAACCCUCUCUCUCUCUCUCUCUCAAUCCCUUUUUAUAUUCUCAAGAUUUUAGACUAAACUUUAUCCAAAAUUGGGGAAGAAUCUGAAUCAUCCAUCUCUUCGUUCUCAACAUCUUACAGCCUCCAUUUCAUGUGAAUUUCCUUCCUUUCUCCUUAAUUUAUGUCUGUCAUACUGAGAAAUAAUAAAACCCCAAAAUCCCAAAACCCAAACUGCUGCCUUCCUUCCAUAUUGGUCUCAGUUCUAUGGAAAAGUAAAAGGUAUGCUUUGAUUGUUGUUCUUGGUAUUUUGAUGGGUCAGAGGGUUGGGAAUGGUUUUGGGUUUGGUUAUGUUGGCGGUAAUAAUUUGGUGGUGGACCUAAACCCGAUUCCGUACGCAAUCGGGCCUCCAGAUCCGAGAUUUGAAGUUGGGGCUGUGUAUGAGACCUCGAAAGAGGUCUCUUCAAUGCCAAAGGUUCAACCUUUGUCUUCUGUGGUGGCCAAGUGGUGCGGAGAAGUGCAGCUUCUUUGGGCUACCGCAAUGAGGAUCAGGGUGUGGAGGUUUGGGCAGUGCACAGAAAGGGGAGCUCAGCUGGUGGUGGUAUUUUCAUGGAAUAUGGUAUUAUCAUAUUGAUUUGACACUCAAGCUUUCAUUUUAGAAGCAAAACAAGAAAUUGUGCACACCUGCUCUCUGGAUGAAACAGAGCUUCACAAUUGCUUACAAGAACGGGAGUCUAUUGGUCUUCUGGACAGAGGGCCUAUCUGUCAACAUACUCAUGUACCCCUUUUUAUUUCGUGCUCUAGUUACUUGUAUAAAUGUCACAAAGAAGAGAAAUAUUCAAUACUAAAUAGGGGAAGUAAUCUUUCUCUGGAUUGGUGAAAUAAAUAUAUGUGUUUGUGUGUAUAAUAUUGGUGAAUUUUGUCUACUUGAUUUUAUUAAUGUAUCAGAACUGAUGCAUGUAGAUAGUUGCAUGAGUAGUUUAUUCAUUACAAUGAUGUUUGUGGGUUCCUAAAGCAUUUCCAUAGACUUGUAUUGUCAAUGUAUUUUUUUUCUGCCACUCAAUUUCAGUUGAGAGUGUUCCAUCUGGAGAGGCCAGGCUUAGGAUUGAAGGAAAUUGCACAAGAAUACAAUAUGAACUGGGAUUCUUCUAACACUGAAGUUGGCAGUAGCAUAUUGAAUUUGGAAUUCUUCUAACAAUCAGGCACUUCACAUCCAAUUCAUUGGCUCAUCAGCUUUAGCCCAACUUAUCAAGUUUCUAGAUCAUGUUCGACAAGGGUUUUGAAAUAUAAUUAUAGACAUAGUACAGUUUCCCUCUACUUCCAUGUGGAUAAGUGUAACUCUGACAAUGAAUCUAUCAAUCUUUGUAAUAUGUGUGGAGUUAUUUUUUGAAUGAAAGUUCUUUAUUA